RNAcentral lists this ribosomal RNA (1399 nucleotides) under Brevibacillus sp. ANA86. RNAcentral describes it as "partial 16S ribosomal RNA". It matches the Rfam family "Bacterial small subunit ribosomal RNA", at positions 104 to 1465 of the family's 1533-position model. The record is from RNAcentral. Lineage: Bacteria; Bacillati; Bacillota; Bacilli; Caryophanales; Paenibacillaceae.
GGGUGAGUAACACGUAGGCAACCUGCCUCUCAGACUGGGAUAACAUAGGGAAACUUAUGCUAAUACCGGAUAGGUUUUUGGAUCGCAUGAUCCGAAAAGAAAAGGCGGCUUUAAACUGUCCUUGGGAAAGGGGCCUGCGGCGCAUUACCUAAUUGGGGGGGUAAUGGCCUACCAAGGAAACAAUGCUUAACCAACCUGAAAGGGAGACCGGCCACACUGGAACUGAGACACGGCCCAAACUCCUACGGAAGGCAGCAGUAGGAAAUUUUCCACAGUGGACAAAGGUCUGAUGGAGCACCGCCGCGUGAACAAUAAGGGUCUUCGGAUUGGAAAGUUCUGUUGUUAGGGACAAACAAUUACGGUUCAAGUAGGGCGGUGCCUGGGGGGGGCCUGACAAGAAAGCCACGGUUAUCUACGUGCCAUCAGCCGCGGUAUUACUUAGGUGGCAAGCGUUGUCCGUAUUUUUUGGGCGUAAAGCGCGCGCAGGCGUUUAUGUAUUUCUGUUGUUAAAUCCCGGAUCUCUUCUCCGGUUCGUUUCGAAAUCUGUGUAUUUUGUUUGCUAAAAAGAAAAGUGGUUUUCCCUGUGUAUCUGUUUAUUUGCGUAAUUAUGUGAAGUAACUCCUGUGGUUAAGGUGCCUUUCCCGGCCUGUAACUGACGCUGAGCCGCCCGGUCGUGGGGAGCAAACAGGACUAGAUCACCCUGGUAGUCCCCCGCCGUAAACCCGACGAGUGCUACGGUGUUGGGGGUUUCAAUCACCCUCAGUGCCGCAGCUAACGCAAUAAGCACUCCGCCUGGGGAGUACGCUCGCAAGAGGCUGAAACUCAAAGGAAUUGACGGGCGGCCCGCACAAGCGGUGGAGCAUGUGGUUUAAUUUGAAGCAACGCGAAGAACCUUACCAGGUCUUGACAUCCCGCUGACCGCUCUCCGGGAGACAGAGCUUCCCUUCGGGGCAGCGGUGACAGGUGGGUUGCAUGGUUGUCGUCACCUCUCCGUGUCGUGAGAUGUUGGGUUAAGUCCCGCAACGAGCGCAACCCUUAAUUUUUCUAGUUGCCAGCAUUCAGUUGGGUGCACUCUAGAGAGACUGCCGUCGACAAGACGGAGGAAGGCGGGGAUGACGUCAAAUCAUCAUGCCCCUUAUGACCUGGGCUACACACGUGCUACAAUGGUUGGUACAACGGGAUGCUACCUCGCGAGAGGACGCCAAUCUCUUAAAACCAAUCUCAGUUCGGAUUGUAGGCUGCAACUCGCCUACAUGAAGUCGGAAUCGCUAGUAAUCGCGGAUCAGCAUGCCGCGGUGAAUACGUUCCCGGGCCUUGUACACACCGCCCGUCACACCACGGGAGUUUGCAACCCCCGAAGUCGGUGAGGUACCCACCCGAACUCGUCGCUCAACAGAGU